UAAUACGGAGGAUCCGAGCGUUAUCCGGAUUUAUUGGGUUUAAAGGGUGCGUAGGCGGGCUGACAAGUCAGCGGUGAAAUAUCGUGGCUCAACCACGGAACUGCCGUUGAAACUGUCGGUCUUGAGUGUAGAUGAGGUGGGUGGAAUUCGUGGUGUAGCGGUGAAAUGCAUAGAUAUCACGAAGAACUCCGAUUGCGUAGGCAGCUCACUAGACUACAACUGACGCUGAAGCACGAAGGUGCGGGGAUCAAACAGG
This 256-nucleotide ribosomal RNA is filed under the name uncultured bacterium. RNAcentral describes it as "partial 16S ribosomal RNA". It matches the Rfam family "Bacterial small subunit ribosomal RNA", at positions 521 to 776 of the family's 1533-position model. The record is from RNAcentral.